UACGUAGGGACCCAAGCGUUGUUCGGAUUUACUGGGCGUAAAGGGCGCGUAGGCGGCAAUUCAAGUCAGCUGUGAAAUCUCCGGGCUUAACUCGGAGCGGUCAGCUGAUACUGCUUUGCUAGAGUGCAGAAGGGGCAAUCGGAAUUCUUGGUGUAGCGGUGAAAUGCGUAGAUAUCAAGAGGAACACCUGAGGUGAAGACGGGUUGCUGGGCUGACACUGACGCUGAGGCGCGAAAGCUAGGGGAGCAAACGGGAUUAGAAA
RNAcentral lists this ribosomal RNA (262 nucleotides) under uncultured bacterium. RNAcentral's name for it is "partial 16S ribosomal RNA". It matches the Rfam family "Bacterial small subunit ribosomal RNA", at positions 524 to 784 of the family's 1533-position model. The record is from RNAcentral.